Molecule: long non-coding RNA, 689 nt
Organism: Eptesicus fuscus (big brown bat)
Lineage: Eukaryota; Metazoa; Chordata; Mammalia; Chiroptera; Vespertilionidae
Exons: 5
Source: RefSeq, a predicted model, not a curated record
CGUGCCUGGUCCCGAGAGAAGAGGAGGACGGUCCGGCCCCACGUGAGGCGAGGCCCGCCACAUCGCGCCUUCCGCCGCUCAACGCAUGGCCGGGGGCGCGGCCGUGGUUCCUGAACUGACCCACGCGGGGUCAGGGUCGGGGGCCCGCACCCGCCCAGCACGCAUGCUCACUCUCCCCCCCCCGCCCCGGUCUGGGUGAGAGGCCGCCCCACCUGCUCAAAUCCUGAGACCCCAGAGGAGCAGGGCCUGGCCUGGCCGCAACCACGUGUGACGGCAAAGAGCUGGCCAUGCAGGAGCAGCUGAAGAGCCCUGGAUGGCCCCAUCUCAGUCCAGAGGACCCAGGGACUUCGUUUCUCAGUUUUGGAAAAAGUACCAGACAGGCCCUUUAACUACUAAGGCAAGUCCCACAUGGUUCCCCAGGAACCUUCUGGAAUGCAGAUGCUGGGAGCACAGGAGCUGCUGGCCUUGCUCGGUCCCUUUGGCUCCCUGCUCUUUUUCUCGUUUAAGCAGGUGGAUGCAGCCCCAGGUGGAUGCAGCUGAAUGAGGGGCCCCAGCACCUGCAAUGGACCAACCUCCCAGGGAAGCCACAGAAUAAUGAGAAACAGUCAUGCUUCUGAUAUCCUGUUUUAGAAGGACUUACCUACACCAAGGCCAUUAAGAUACUUUUAAUAAAUAAAAAACAAUUUUAA